This 87-nucleotide transfer RNA is filed under the name Candidatus Peregrinibacteria bacterium. Its description in RNAcentral is "tRNA-Leu". It matches the Rfam family "tRNA". Rfam says of the family: Transfer RNA (tRNA) molecules are approximately 80 nucleotides in length. Their secondary structure includes four short double-helical elements and three loops (D, anti-codon, and T loops). Further hydrogen bonds mediate the characteristic L-shaped molecular structure. tRNAs have two regions of fundamental functional importance: the anti-codon, which is responsible for specific mRNA codon recognition, and the 3' end, to which the tRNAs corresponding amino acid is attached (by aminoacyl-tRNA synthetases). tRNAs cope with the degeneracy of the genetic code in two manners: having more than one tRNA (with a specific anti-codon) for a particular amino acid; and 'wobble' base-pairing, i.e. permitting non-standard base-pairing at the 3rd anti-codon position. Lineage: Bacteria; Candidatus Peregrinibacteriota. The record is from RNAcentral.
GCCGGGGUGGCGGAACUGGCAGACGCGCGGGACUCAAAAUCCCGUUCCCCUUGGGGAGUGAGGGUUCGAUCCCCUCCUCCGGCACCA